This 435-nucleotide long non-coding RNA is filed under the name Parus major (Great Tit). RNAcentral's name for it is "lncRNA (ENSPMJG00000008992.1)". The record is from RNAcentral. Lineage: Eukaryota; Metazoa; Chordata; Aves; Passeriformes; Paridae.
UUCUUGAUUCAAUUAAAAAAAAAUCUACAUUUUCCUUCCCCAGCAAUAAUGUAACCAGGAACUCAGAUGAGGAUGAUUCCCCUGGUCUGCUUCAGGAGGAUUCCUCAUCUUCAUUUAAGGAGACGUUGACCACAUGCAAAGGGCCACUGUGACCUUUCAUUGCUUCACUUACGAAUAUUCACUUCAUUUAAAGAGAUCUCCCUUAAGACUACAGACCACAUAAAAAAUGUCUUGCACAGCCUGCCUAGAGCCCCUUUCCAUGUGUAAUCAACACAUCAACUCUUUUGCAGAUGGUGAUAAAUUCAAAUUCAGACUCCAUUAAACCUGAGUAGAGAAACCCAGCAGGUGGCUACACUAAUGGAAAAUCCUGGCCUUGGAAUAAUGGGAAUUGCAACCGACAGCUCCUCUAUACCACAAAAAAGAUGAUGUAUUCCU